UACGAAGGGGGCUAGCGUUGCUCGGAAUCACUGGGCGUAAAGCGCACGUAGGCGGAUCUUUAAGUCAGGGGUGAAAUCCUGGAGCUCAACUCCAGAACUGCCUUUGAUACUGGGGAUCUCGAGUCCGGGAGAGGUGAGUGGAACUGCGAGUGUAGAGGUGAAAUUCGUAGAUAUUCGCAAGAACACCAGUGGCGAAGGCGGCUCACUGGCCCGAUACUGACGCUGAGGCACGAAAGCGUGGGGAGCAAACAGG
This 253-nucleotide ribosomal RNA is filed under the name uncultured bacterium. RNAcentral's name for it is "partial 16S ribosomal RNA". It matches the Rfam family "Bacterial small subunit ribosomal RNA", at positions 524 to 776 of the family's 1533-position model. The record is from RNAcentral.